This 796-nucleotide ribosomal RNA is filed under the name uncultured bacterium. Its description in RNAcentral is "bacterial SSU rRNA". It matches the Rfam family "Bacterial small subunit ribosomal RNA", at positions 29 to 836 of the family's 1533-position model. The record is from RNAcentral.
AUGAACGCUGGCGGCGUGCUAAUACAUGCAAGUCGAACGAGGUGCUUGAGUAGCAAUACAAGAGUAUCCUAGCGGCGAACGGGUGAGUAACGCGUGGGUGACCUACCCCAAAGUGUGGGAUAACAGUCCGAAAGGAUUGCUAAUACCGCAUGUGAUCAUUGGAUUUAGAAACUGAUGAUUAAAGGAGCAAUUCGCUUUGGGAGGGACCUGCGUCCCAUCAGCUAGUUGGUGAGGUAAUGGCUUACCAAGGCGACGACGGGUAGGGGACCUGAGAGGGUGGCCCCCCACAAUGGAACUGAAACACGGUCCAUACACCUACGGGUGGCAGCAGUAGGGAAUAUUGCACAAUGGGCGAAAGCCUGAUGCAGCAACGCCGCGUGUGCGAUGAAGGCCUUCGGGCCGUAAAGCACUUUUCUGAGAGAUGAGAAAGGACAGUAUCUCAGGAAUAAGUCUCGGCUAACUACGUGCCAGCAGCCGCGGUAAAACGUAGGAGGCGAGCGUUAUCCGGAUUCACUGGGCGUAAAGCGCGUGCAGGCGGUUCGGUAAGUUGGAUAUGAAAUCUCCUGGCUUAACUAGGAGAGGUUAUUCAAUACUACCGGACUAGAGAGUGGUAGAGGAAGAUGGAAUUCCCGGUGUAGUGGUGAAAUGCGUAGAUAUCGGGAGGAACACCAGUGGCGAAAGCGAUCUUCUGGACCAUUUCUGACGCUCAGACGCGAAAGCUAGGGUAGUAAACGGGAUUAGAGACCCCGGUAAUCCUAGCCGUAAACGAUGUAAACUUGGUGUCGGUGGCUUUAAC